AGUCACUGACUAUAGACUACCCGUGUACGUCCCAGCCGUAACUAUGCGCGUUAGGUGUACUGGUGACCACGAGUCACCGGGGUGCCGAAGGGAAACCGUGAAACGUGCCGCCUGGGAAGUACGGUCGCAAGGCUGAAACUUAAAGGAAUCGGCGGGGAGCACCACAACAGGUGGAGCCUGCGGUUUAAUUGGAUUCAACGCCGGACAUCUCACCGGAUAAGACAGCUGAAUGAUUGUCAAUCUGAAGGUUUUACAUGACUAGCUG
This 265-nucleotide ribosomal RNA is filed under the name uncultured archaeon. RNAcentral describes it as "partial 16S ribosomal RNA". It matches the Rfam family "Archaeal small subunit ribosomal RNA", at positions 717 to 982 of the family's 1478-position model. The record is from RNAcentral.